This 709-nucleotide unclassified non-coding RNA is filed under the name Hevea brasiliensis (rubber tree). The record is from RNAcentral. Lineage: Eukaryota; Viridiplantae; Streptophyta; Magnoliopsida; Malpighiales; Euphorbiaceae.
AGAACUUCCUAAUCCUGAACAAAAAGCAUUGGCUGAAUUCAAACAGAUGGUUCAAGAAGCUCUUAACAAGCAUGAAUUCACUGCCCCUCCUCCUCCGCCGCCGGCAAAGGAAGAGGAUGAGAAGAAAGCAGCCGUUCCCGCCGAGGCACCGGAGGCAGAGCCAGUUACAGAGGCCGCAGCGCCGGCGACACCUGAUCCAGUGAUAGAGACAGAAUCGGAACCGGUGGCCGAGAAGAAAGUUGAAACAGAGAAAUUGGAGAAAACAGAGGAGAAAGUAACUCCACCGGAAACUGAAGCAACUCCGGCGCCGGCAGCAGAGACACCAUCUGAGCCAUCGGAGACAGAGAAGGUGGAGGCAGUCGAGGAAAUCAAGGAAACCAUUGUUGAAGUACCGGCUGCGGUUGCUGUGAUGGCCUCCACGGAGGAGCCACCGGCUGCAGAGGCAGAGGAACCGAAAACAGAGCAAACCCCACCAGCAGCACCAGAAGAAGUAUCCAUAUGGGGAAUACCCCUUUUAGCAGAUGAGAGAAGUGAUGUAAUCCUUCUCAAGUUUCUGCGAGCGAGAGAUUUCAAGGUGAAAGAAGCUUUCACCAUGUUGAAAAGUGUUGUCGCAUGGAGAAAAGAAUUCAAGAUUGAUGAACUCUUGGAUGAGAAAGAAUUAGGACAAGGACUUGAAAAAGUUGUUUACAAUCACGGAGUAGACAAAGAA